CAUAUUGUUCCUGGAAGAGGCAAAAGCCUAGGGCUUCAAGAUGCCGGGGCUUCAAGAAACCAAGGCAUGACCUCAAGAGAUUUGCCGGAGGUGGCCUCGGUGGCAGCAGUCAUUGAAGAAAGGAAGACAGCUGCCCAGCCAGUCUGACAGACCAUACACAGACAGCCCUGUUCACAGGGAGGGUGCAUCUGAGAUCAAUGGCCAAAGAAAAUGGGCUCUGAACAGUGCUUCACUGUAACAUCCAGGAUCUGGAAAGUUGUAUUUGAGUGCUGGGUUUGAUAUACGUUAACUAGAAGAUAAAACAUGCCAACUAUGGCUAGCAGACACAGUGCCCCAUCAUGUCUGAACAAAAAGAUAUUUUAUACCAGAAGUGCGGAACAGGAUUUUUUGCAGUUUUGCUAGAAUCCUUGUCACAGUGCUUAAUAAUGUUACAUCAUUUAGAUAAUAAUUUUUCUAGUUUUCAGUUUACCUAAUAGUAAGUUUUCAAUUAUUUUAUGGAGCUUUUUCAAUCAGAACAACAUCGUACCUGUCUUUUCAGUUAUUAUUCCCAAAUAAAAGUUUAACCUCUUUUCGGAA
RNAcentral lists this long non-coding RNA (576 nucleotides) under Pan troglodytes (chimpanzee). RNAcentral describes it as "lincRNA". The record is from RNAcentral. Lineage: Eukaryota; Metazoa; Chordata; Mammalia; Primates; Hominidae.